This 1344-nucleotide ribosomal RNA is filed under the name uncultured bacterium. Its description in RNAcentral is "bacterial SSU rRNA". It matches the Rfam family "Bacterial small subunit ribosomal RNA", at positions 28 to 1381 of the family's 1533-position model. The record is from RNAcentral.
GAUGAACGCUGGCGGCGUGCUUAACACAUGCAAGUCGAACGAUGAAGCCCAUCUUGCUGGGUGGAUUAGUGGCAAACGGGUGAGUAACACGUGAGUAACCUGCCCUUAACUCUGGGAUAAGCCUGGGAAACUGGGUCUAAUACCGGAUAAGAGCGCCUACCGCAUGGUGGGUGUUGGAAAGAUUUAUCGGUUUUGGAUGGACUCGCGGCCUAUCAGCUUGUUGGUGAGGGAAUGGCUCACCAAGGCAACGACGGGUAGCCGGCCUGAGAGGGUGACCGGCCACACUGGGACUGACACACGGCCCACACUCCUACGGGAGGCAGCAGUGGGGAAUAUUGCACAAUGGGCGCAAGCCUGAUGCACCGACGCCGCGUGAGGAAUGACGGCCUUCUGGUUGUAAACCUCUUUCAGUACGAAAUAAUCGAAAGUGACGGUACCUGCACAACAAGCACCGGCUAACUACGUGCCAGCAGCCGCGGUAAUACGUAGGGUGCGAGCGUUAUCCGGAAUUAUUGGGCGUAAAGAGCUCGUAGACGGUUUGUCGCGUCUGUCGUGAAAGUCCGGGGUCUUAACCCCGGAUCUGCGGUGGGUACGGGCAGACUAGAGUGCAGUAGGGGAGACUGGAAUUCCUGGUGUAGCGGUGGAAUGCGCAGAUAUCAAGAGGAGCACCGAUGGCGAAGGCAGGUCUCUGGGCUGUAACUGACGCUGAGGAGCGAAAGCAUGGGGAGCGAACAGGAUUAGAUACCCUGGUAGUCCAUGCCGUAAACGUUGGGCACUAGGUGUGGGGACCAUUCCACGGUUUCCGCGCCGCAGCUAACGCAUUAAGUGCCCCGCCUGGGGAGUACGGCCGCAAGGCUAAAACUCAAAGGAAUUGACGGGGGCCCGCACAAGCGGCGGAGCAUGCGGAUUAAUUCGAUGCAACGCGAAGAACCUUACCAAGGCUUGACAUGUUCUCGAUCGCCGUAGAGAUACGGUUUCCCCUUUGGGGCGGGUUCACAGGUGGUGCAUGGUUGUCCUCAGCUCGUGUCGUGAGAUGUUGGGUUAAGUCCCGCAACGAGCGCAACCCUCGUUCCAUGUUGCCAGCACGUAAUGGUGGGGACUCAUGGGAGACUGCCGGGGUCAACUCGGAGGAAGGUGAGGACGACGUCAAAUCAUCAUGCCCCUUAUGUCUUGGGCUUCACGCAUGCUACAAUGGCCGGUACAAUGGGUUGCGAUACUGUGAGGUGGAGCUAAUCCCAAAAAGCCGGUCUCAGUUCGGAUUGGGGUCUGCAACUCGACCCCAUGAAGUCGGAGUCGCUAGUAAUCGCAGAUCAGCAACGCUGCGGUGAAUACGUUCCCGGGCCU